UACGGGGGGGGGCAAGCGUUGUUCGGAAUUACUGGGCGUAAAGGGCUCGUAGGCGGCCAACUAAGUCGGACGUGAAAUCCCUCGGCUUAACCGGGGAACUGCAUCCGAUACUGGAGGGCUUGAGUUUGGGAGAGGGAUGCGGAAUUCCAGGUGUAGCGGUGAAAUGCGUAGAUAUCUGGAGGAACACCGGUGGCGAAGGCGGCAUCCUGGACCAACACUGACGCUGAGGAGCGAAAGCCAGGGGAGCAAACGGG
This 254-nucleotide ribosomal RNA is filed under the name uncultured bacterium. RNAcentral describes it as "partial 16S ribosomal RNA". It matches the Rfam family "Bacterial small subunit ribosomal RNA", at positions 524 to 776 of the family's 1533-position model. The record is from RNAcentral.